RNAcentral lists this ribosomal RNA (139 nucleotides) under uncultured eukaryote. RNAcentral's name for it is "partial 18S ribosomal RNA". It matches the Rfam family "Eukaryotic small subunit ribosomal RNA", at positions 1299 to 1458 of the family's 1831-position model. The record is from RNAcentral.
UGGUGGAGUGAUUUGUCUGGUUAAUUCCGUUAACGAACGAGACCUCAGCCUGCUAAUUAGGUUAGUCAGAGGCAACUCUGGUCUGAACUUCUUAGAGGGACUAUCGGAUAUUACCCGAUGGAAGUGUGAGGCAAUAACA